GUGAAUCAUCGAGUCUUUGAACGCACCUUGCGCUCGUUGGUAUUCCGACGAGCAUGCCUGUUUGAGUGUCAUUAAAUUCUCAACCUCAUCGCUUCUGUGAUGAUGGCUUGGAUGUGGAGGUUUUCUGCAGGCCGAAAGGUCUGCUCCUCUCAAAUGAAUUAGUGGGUGCCCCGCGCAAACCUAUCUAUUGGUGUGAUAAUUAUCUACGCCGUGGAUCUUAGGAUUGCUGUAAAAAGGUGUUUGCCCCGCUUCUAACCGUCUUCGGACAAUCUUGAACCAUUUGACCUCAAAUCAGGUAGGACUACCCGCUGAACUUAAGCAUAUCAAUAAGCGGAGG
RNAcentral lists this ribosomal RNA (337 nucleotides) under uncultured fungus. RNAcentral's name for it is "eukaryotic LSU rRNA". The stretch from base 1 to 71 matches the Rfam family "5.8S ribosomal RNA", at positions 84 to 154 of the family's 154-position model. The record is from RNAcentral. Lineage: Eukaryota; Fungi.